This 495-nucleotide ribosomal RNA is filed under the name uncultured bacterium. RNAcentral's name for it is "partial 16S ribosomal RNA". It matches the Rfam family "Bacterial small subunit ribosomal RNA", at positions 28 to 507 of the family's 1533-position model. The record is from RNAcentral.
GACGAACGCUGGCGGCGUGCCUAAUACAUGCAAGUAGAACGCUGAAGGAGGAGCUUGCUUCUCUGGAUGAGUUGCGAACGGGUGAGUAACGCGUAGGUAACCUGCCUGGUAGCGGGGGAUAACUAUUGGAAACGAUAGCUAAUACCGCAUAACAGUAGAUAUCGCAUGAUAUCUACUUGAAAGGUGCAAUUGCAUCACUACCAGAUGGACCUGCGUUGUAUUAGCUAGUUGGUGAGGUAACGGCUCACCAAGGCGACGAUACAUAGCCGACCUGAGAGGGUGAUCGGCCACACUGGGACUGAGACACGGCCCAGACUCCUACGAGAGGCAGCAGUAGGGAAUCUUCGGCAAUGGACGGAAGUCUGACCGAGCAACGCCGCGUAAGUGAAGAAGGUUUUCGGAUCGUAAAGCUCUGUUGUAAGAGAAGAACGAGUGUGAGAGUGGAAAGUUCACACUGUGACGGUAUCUUACCAGAAAGGGACGGCUAACUACGUG